Molecule: ribosomal RNA, 375 nt
Filed under: uncultured bacterium
Lineage: Bacteria
Description: bacterial SSU rRNA
Rfam family: Bacterial small subunit ribosomal RNA
Source: RNAcentral
UAAUACGAAGGGAGCUAGCGUUGUUCGGAAUUACUGGGCGUAAAGGGCGCGUAGGCGGUUUAGUAAGUCAGAUGUGAAAGCCCCGGGCUUAACCUGGGAUGUGCAUUUGAUACUGCUAGACUAGAGAUCGAAAGAGGAGAGUGGAAUUGCGAGUGUAGAGGUGAAAUUCGUAGAUAUUCGCAGGAACACCAGUGGCGAAGGCGACUCUCUGGUUCGAUACUGACGCUAAGGCGCGAAAGCGUGGGGAGCAAACAGGAUUAGAUACCCUGGUAGUCCACGCUGUAAACGAUGAGUGCUAGAUGUUGGGGGAUUUAUCCUUCAGUAUCGCAGCUAACGCAAUAAGCACUCCGCCUGGGGAGUACGGUCGCAAGAUUA